Dermochelys coriacea (leatherback sea turtle) is the source of this 602-nucleotide long non-coding RNA. RefSeq lists it as uncharacterized. The transcript is spliced from 3 exons. The record is from RefSeq and is a predicted model, not a curated record. Lineage: Eukaryota; Metazoa; Chordata; Testudines; Dermochelyidae.
GCAUUGAAAAAAUGUCCCACAAUCACAUUUGCAGAGAAAAGCUUAAAACCAGGAUUCUAAAUGCUUCAAUGCCAAAAGACACUUGACUUCACCAGAAGUGUGGAUGCUCAGCCCUUUUGAUCAUCAAACCCACUGUAUCCAUUAAAAUGGAUGCACUCCGUUUAGCAGCCACUCUUCAAAAUUUGACCCAAAAUGACUUCCACAAUAUCCAGAACCAACAACAAAGACAAGGCCCAACAGGACCAGCAAUGGCAGCAGAACAGAGCUGGCUCCAUGGGGAGCUCUGGACCAUCAGCAGCAACACUAGAGAGCUGACUCCAUGGCCAGAUCAUCAUAUCAAGCUGGAAAUGCCAAUAAUGAGCUGAUUUCAAAGCACCCUAACUCACCCAGUUGGUAGAAGUGAAACAAAACUACUGAACCGCACUAGAAGGCUGCACUGUGGAGUGGGACCUAACUGCACAAUUCUUUCAGGACCAGAGCAGACCAGCAGAGGAGAGCCACCCCUGGACACCUUUGACUAUCAUUGAUUCAAUCUGUGAGUGGGUUUUUGGUGGGGUAGAUGAUGAGCCAGGUUUCUGGACCUUCAUCAGCUGGACAUUUAU